This 380-nucleotide ribosomal RNA is filed under the name uncultured eukaryote. RNAcentral's name for it is "partial 18S ribosomal RNA". It matches the Rfam family "Eukaryotic small subunit ribosomal RNA", at positions 592 to 976 of the family's 1831-position model. The record is from RNAcentral.
CAAUAGCGUAUAUUAAAGUUGUUGCGGUUAAAAAGCUCGUAGUUGGAGUUCUGCCAGGUGCCGCCUGUCCGCCCCAGUGGUGAGUACGUGGCGCGCAUUUGGCCCUUUCAAGGGGAGCGUAUCUGCACUUUAUUGUGUGGUGCGGGAUCCAUGACUUUUACUUUGAGGAAAUAGGAGUGUUCCAAGCAGGCUCUCGUCGUGCACAGCUCAGCAUGGAAUAAUAGCAUUGGACCUCGAUUCUAAGCUGUUGGUUGCCAGAAGCGAGGUAAUGAUGAAGAGGGAUAGUUGGGGGCAUUCGUAUUUCGGUGCUAGAGGUGAAAUUCUUAGAUUACCGAAAGACAAACUGCUGCGAAAGCGUCUGCCAAGGAUGUUUUCAUUGA